UGAUUUGGCACCAAAUGAGAAUGUACACGAGUUGGCCGUGGAACUGGUCCAGCUUGGCUUCAUUAGUGAGGGGGAUCAGCCACGUCUCACUACUGUGCUGGAAGAGGCGUUCUCUAGAUUCUACAGCCGGAACGGCUCGCUGAAUCCUGUGACCGUUUCCUCGUAGCAGAGGGGCCAGUCUGCCUGCUCCUCUCCACCAUCCUUCAGCUUCACGCACGGACGGGACUCUAGCGCUUCAUCACUUGGAGGAUUGUGGUGCUUGCUUUGUUUAGGAGGGAUCAGAACGCCUCGAACUGAACCUCCCGAAAGAAAAGCACCCCUGCGCUCUGUUCUUCACACCGCUUU
This is a long non-coding RNA of Carassius auratus (goldfish), 345 nucleotides long. RefSeq lists it as uncharacterized. NCBI's taxonomy places the organism in Eukaryota, Metazoa, Chordata, Actinopteri, Cypriniformes, Cyprinidae. The record is from RefSeq and is a predicted model, not a curated record. The transcript has 3 exons.